CUCGUAGGCGGUUCGUCGCGUCCGGUGUGAAAGUCCAUCGCUUAACGGCGGAUCCGCGCCGGGUACGGGCGGGCUUGAGUGCGGUAGGGGAGACUGGAAUUCCCGGUGUAACGGUGGAAUGUGUAGAUAUCGGGAAGAACACCAAUGGCGAAGGCAGGUCUCUGGGCCGUCACUGACGCUGAGGAGCGAAAGCGUGGGGAGCGAACA
RNAcentral lists this ribosomal RNA (207 nucleotides) under uncultured bacterium. RNAcentral's name for it is "partial 16S ribosomal RNA". It matches the Rfam family "Bacterial small subunit ribosomal RNA", at positions 568 to 774 of the family's 1533-position model. The record is from RNAcentral.